CGAACGGGUGAGUGAUACGUGAGUGACCUACCUUUGACUCUGGGAUAAGCCUGGGAAACUGGGUCUAAUACCGGAUACGACCAAUCUCUGCAUGGGGUGUUGGUGGAAAGCGUUAUGGAGUGGUUUUAGAUGGGCUCACGGCCUAUCAGCUUGUUGGUGAGGUAAUGGCUUACCAAGGCGACGACGGGUAGCCGGCCUGAGAGGGUGACCGGCCACACUGGGACUGAGACACGGCCCAG
RNAcentral lists this ribosomal RNA (239 nucleotides) under uncultured bacterium. RNAcentral's name for it is "partial 16S ribosomal RNA". It matches the Rfam family "Bacterial small subunit ribosomal RNA", at positions 99 to 334 of the family's 1533-position model. The record is from RNAcentral.